CAAAUUACCAGUUAUCCGAAUUACCACUUGUGGAGCCGUUGGCAGGACAGGUCCCAACAAAAUGCAAUGCGCAGAGAAAUAUAAUAGAACUGAUGUAGAAUUGAUUGUACCGUCGCCGAUAUCAGAACAGGGAGACAUGCCGGUUUUUUAUUUGAAUGGAGUCCAACGGUGGACUGCGUCACGCGGUGAAUACUACACUUUGAUCGGCUUUGGUGCGAAAGGAGGAAAGGGCGCUACUGAUCCGAGUAACUCCAGCUCCAUGGGUGCCCUUGCUCAAGGUGUGAUAGAAUUACAGAAGGGCGAUCAGCUGUAUUUUAUGGUGGGUCAAGCGGGAGCAGAUGCACGUCCCAAAAACAUCGGAUCAAAAAUAGUCAAUUCUACAUCGGCUCCACCACAUGGAUCUAUACCACCACAUAACACUCAUACCACAUCAAAAGUGCGAGAAGUGAAAAACACGGAGUUUGAAAACGGCGGCGGGGGCGGUGGUGGUGCAACUACCAUUUUCACAUUAAAAGCCAAUGGAGAGCUGGUACCGAUCUUAAUUGCGGCGGGUGGCGGUGGUUUGGGAUUGGGUCAUUUUGCGGACAAUGGGCUACAGCACGGCCGUGGCCCCAUUCCCGCCGGUAGACUCUUACCUCCUUCAUCUGAGGUUUCAAAUAGCACAGGCGGCCCCGGUGCCAAUUGGAAUGGUUCGUGGACUAACGAUUCCGAUCGACAAAAUAUUGCGGGAAUGCCGUUGAUUCGUGGAGGUGUGGGAGGACUUGGUUGUGACUCUGGAAAGGAAGAUUACGGUAAUGGAGGCUUCGGCGGAGGUGGAGGUGGUUGCCAUACAGGAGGCGGUGGAGGUGGUUACAUUGGCGGUAAAACUGGACACACAGACUCUGGAAACGGCGAAGGUGGUUACUCAUAUAUCAGCCACGAACUCACAAACAUUUAUUUCAAGCCUGCAGCUCAUUCUGGUUUGGGUGAGAUCCUCAUCAUACCCGCGGUCAGUGGUUGCGGUUGUGAUUAUCGUUGCAUCGCUCUUGAUCAAUAUAUGAACAAAACUAAGUGUCUCUGUCCUCAGGGUUGGUUACUUAGCAACGAUUCCAAAUCCUGUAUUAUGACUGACGAUUCGAAGGGUGUACAUCAAAUGUACAUAAUUCCGCUUGUAAUCUUAAUCGCCAGUUUAUUCACCAUUGUGGGAGUUUGCUUAAUAACUUAUAAGCGGUACCAAAAACAGAAAGCGCUUUUGCAACGUCGCCAAAUAAUGUUUGGCAACGGUACAGAGUUGCCGUUAACUGCAUUGCGCGCUGUGUCAAAUACAAUGAGAACUGAAUGCAAUCCCAAUUACGGCUUUACUGGCAAUCCCGACCCCAUCAAAGACUUGCCGCAAAUAUCCCGCGAAUGUAUUACUAUAGGAGAAAGUGUCGGUGAAGGAGCUUUUGGCCGAGUUUACCAAGGCAUGUAUAAAUACAGCAGCGAGGAAUAUCCUGUCGCCGUAAAGAUGCUACCUUUAAAGACACCACAGGCAGAACAUGAUUUCAUAUGUGAAGCAGUGCUAAUGAGUAAAUUUAAUCAUCCUAAUAUAGUACAGUUCAUCGGUGUCUCCUUCGACAAACAUCCAUGGUUUAUUAUCCUUGAGUUAUUGGCUGGAGGCGAUCUCAAGCAGUUCCUACAUGACGAAAGGCCUACAAAAGAUCAUCCUACUACGUCCUUAACGAUGUUGGAUCUCAUUAUGUGUGCCUAUGACGUCGCGAAAGGUUGUAAAUAUAUGGAGGAUGCGCAUUUUAUACAUCGAGACAUUGCUGCUAGAAAUUGUUUGUUAACUACCAGAGCUCCAGGACGUAUCGUUAAGAUUGCUGAUUUCGGUAUGGCUAAGGACAUUUAUCGAAGUGAUUAUUAUAAGAAAGGUACGAAAACAAUAAUGCCCGUAAAGUGGAUGCCACCUGAGAGUUUCAUGGACGGCCUAUUCACUGCAAAAACCGACGUUUGGUCUUUCGGUGUGCUCCUAUGGGAAAUUUUUUCCUUUGGAUAUAUACCCUAUUAUGGAUCUUCGCAUCGUGAGGUCAUGUCGAUGAUAAUGGACGGUGGUCGUCUCGAGAAACCUGUGGGGUGUCCAGAUCCUGUUUAUGGGAUUAUGAUGCGAUGCUGGCAGACAGUACCUGAGGACAGACCAAAUUUUUCCACCAUUGUUGAAAGAAUUGGAUAUUGUUUACAGGACCCUGAUGUGAUAAAUCAUCCGAUGCCUAUGGCGAGUGCAUUGCCAAACCUGGAAACUGAAAUAAUAGUCAGGAGACCAGAUUCGGAUGAAGAAUGCAUUAACAUACAAUCUGAUGUCGAUGAUGGAUCCAGUUACCUGCAGCCCAAGAUCAUCGAUCCCCAACUGGUAGCACAACAUGUGAAUCAAGCUAUGAAUGGUAUCGCUUAUAAUCCAGAGAAUGAAAGAUUCAACAAAGAUCAAAAACUGCACAGCAAAAAUUUUGCAAAAUCAACGGAGCAAAUAACGUGCGGCUCUAGCACAGACAUCUUUAAGCAAAUCUACAGCAACGACAACAAUCAUGAUUGUGAUUGCAACGACGACUUGAUCGCAGAUUGUGAGGACAAACGCGUAAUUAACUGGUCGACUCAACAAAAUAGUAUGAUACAUCGAAGUGAUAACAUCGAAGAUUGCGAUAACAUGGACAAUGGUAAUGAUCGUCCAGAAGAGACUUGCCAUCUGAUUGACAACACCGAUAGCGCGAUAACGGAUCGCAGGAAUGGCAAUGAGAGUACAACGACCACCGACACUAAUUCCGAUUCCCUGAUAGCGCAAUCCUCGGACACUCCACCUGACACGACAACAAACUCGUCACCCAACACGCGCACCUGUUCACCGAGUCGUGCUAUUGGUCUCAAUGUUAAUGUUAACAAUGUGAAUGGUAUGGUAAAGAAGAAUACUUUAAAAGCGACACUGAGCUUGGAUCCAGCCGCUCUCUGCAGAGGCACCAUCCCCUACGAAAAGAUCGCAACGCGCACACAAUUGCGCUCAAGCACACCGGGCAGUAUGGAGCUCAGGAAGGUAACUUGACUUCCUCCCUACAUCCGGCGUCCUGCAUCUGUAGAUGACCAUGGUCCUUGACCAAAGGAUUCCCUGGGCCACGAACUACCGAGAGAAGAGGAGUGCUCUUGCUGAGAUUUAUCUGAGAGGGGUUGACGAGGCUGUCCAAAGGCCGCGGUCAAUUGUUACACUGCUCACCGCCAACGACAGUUGCAACAAUCAGCUACAAUAACUGCGAUUACAAUAGACAUGCAACUUGUAGAACUCUCCUCGUCUUCGUGGACCUAUGACAACGAAUACUCGUAUCGCUCCCAUUCCAAAGAUACUCUUCUGUGAAUGGAAUCUGAAAAACACAAAAUUCCUUAACACGGGUAAUACUUCUUUGACACAAAUCGAGACUGUUUCGUACAAUAUAAGAAAGAUGUAUGAUUGAUUUAUUAAAUCAAAGAAAAUGUUAAACGAACGUUAAGGAAAUCGAAGAGAUUAUUAACCAAGUGUAAUAAACAAAUUAAAAUUAUACAUAGGAGACGAAAGAUACCAAAUACGUAAUUCUAAUAUCCAAUACAUUAAGUCGAGAUGAUCUCAUCCAGUAAAUGUUUUAAUUCCAUGAUGACGAUGAGACAGGAAUUUGUAAAAUUAUUUAGUCAUUCUCGUCACGAGAAGCACUAAUUAAUCAAAGUAAGUAGGUCAAUGUAAAAUCACCAUUAACCCUUUAAGUAUUAAUGAUCUAUAUAUACAGCAAUUAAAAAAUAUUUUUUAUGUAUGGCAUCUUUGCAAAAUUAUGGUAUCCAAAAAUC
This is a non-coding RNA of Linepithema humile (Argentine ant), 3816 nucleotides long. Lineage: Eukaryota; Metazoa; Arthropoda; Insecta; Hymenoptera; Formicidae. The record is from RefSeq and is a predicted model, not a curated record.